UGCCAGCCGCCGCGGUAAUACGGAUGGUGCGAGCGUUAAUCGGAAUUACUGGGCGUAAAGCGCGCGUAGGCGGCUAAGUCAGUCAGAAGUGAAAGCCCCGGGCUCAACCUGGGAAUUGCUUUUGAUACUGCUUAGCUAGAGUUUGGUAGAGGAUAGUGGAAUUCCAGGUGUAGCGGUGAAAUGCGUAGAUAUCUGGAGGAACAUCAGUGGCGAAGGCGACUGUCUGGACCAAAACUGACGCUGAGGUGCGAAAGCGUGGGUAGCAAACGGGAUUAGAUACCCUGGUAGUCCACGCCGUAAACGAUGUCAACUAGCCGUCGGGUCUAUUUACAGACUUGGUGGCGCAGCUAACGCGAUAAGUUGACCGCCUGGGGAGUACGGCCGCAAGGUUAAAACUCAAAGGAAUUGACGGGGGCCCGCACAAGCGGUGGAGCAUGUGGUUUAAUUCGAUGCAACGCGAAGAACCUUACCAGCUCUUGACAUCCAGAGAACUUUCUAGAGAUAGAUUGGUGCCUUCGGGAACUCUGAGACAGGUGCUGCAUGGCU
Molecule: ribosomal RNA, 546 nt
Filed under: uncultured gamma proteobacterium kpj323f
Lineage: Bacteria; Pseudomonadati; Pseudomonadota; Gammaproteobacteria
Description: bacterial SSU rRNA
Rfam family: Bacterial small subunit ribosomal RNA
Source: RNAcentral